CAUUUAUGUUAGGCCUACUUACAAAACGUUUCAGUAAAUUAUCGUGACUGCUAUGGUAGAUAUAUUGGCUCGAAUAACCUAAACGCGUUGUAGCGCCAGAGAACAUCAGCGUGGACAAAGUGGGAUCUACUGGGUUUACAGUGAGUUUCAAUGGCGUACCAAUCGCUGCAAGUUACCAAGUGAAGGUAACGGCCCAGCAUGACUCGUCAGAUUCUGAUAUAUUUAAAAUUCGAGCUUCUAGCAACGCAAGACAAUCGUAUGAGGUUAAAAGCAGAAAAAGCAAUAGAAACUACAUUGUUCAAGUAAGAGCUCUUGAUGGAAAGAACACAGCAAGUAAUUACACAACUAAAACGGGCCCUUAUGCCAGAACAGCUCCGGAUGGUUCAAGGAUUCUGAACGUGAUUACCACUCCAACUUUCAUCACCAUCUUCCUGGAAGAAACUCCGGGAGCAACAGCAUGGGAGGUUGAGGUUAAUGACACAAUUACAGGGACAUCAAGGAUCAUCUCUGUUCCAACUGGUGUUCCUUCAAAUACAUCCUAUGUGGCUAUG
Molecule: non-coding RNA, 551 nt
Organism: Ciona intestinalis (vase tunicate)
Lineage: Eukaryota; Metazoa; Chordata; Ascidiacea; Phlebobranchia; Cionidae
Source: RefSeq, a predicted model, not a curated record